Molecule: unclassified non-coding RNA, 198 nt
Filed under: plant metagenome
Description: partial contains small subunit ribosomal RNA and internal transcribed spacer 1
Rfam family: Eukaryotic small subunit ribosomal RNA (bases 1-46)
Source: RNAcentral
AAGUCGUAACAAGGUCUCCGUAGGUGAACCUGCGGAGGGAUCAUUACCGAGUGAGGGCCCCCCGGGUCCGACCUCCAACCCUUUGUCGUUACAAUCUCUGUUGCCUCGGGGGUGACCCGGCCCCCCGCGCCGGGGCCCCGGUGGACCCAACCAAACUCUGCGUCCAUGCGUCGGAGUCGCAAGUAAAUAUAAUCAAAA